This 947-nucleotide small RNA is filed under the name uncultured Mycobacterium sp. RNAcentral's name for it is "bacterial SSU rRNA". The stretch from base 1 to 473 matches the Rfam family "Bacterial small subunit ribosomal RNA", at positions 1064 to 1533 of the family's 1533-position model. The record is from RNAcentral. Lineage: Bacteria; Bacillati; Actinomycetota; Actinomycetes; Mycobacteriales; Mycobacteriaceae.
GUCGUGAGAUGUUGGGUUAAGUCCCGCAACGAGCGCAACCCUCGUCCAAUGUUGCCAGCGGGUAAUGCCGGGGACUCAUUGGAGACUGCCGGGGUCAACUCGGAGGAAGGUGGGGAUGACGUCAAGUCAUCAUGCCCCUUAUGUCUUGGGCUGCAAACAUGCUACAAUGGCCGGUACAAAGGGCUGCGAACCUGUGAGGGUAAGCGAAUCCCGGAAAGCCGGUCUCAGUUCGGAUCGGGGUCUGCAACUCGGCCCCGUGAAGCCGGAGUCGCUAGUAAUCGCGGAUCAGCAACGCCGCGGUGAAUACGUUCCCGGGCCUUGUACACACCGCCCGUCACGUCACGAAAGUUGGCAACACCCGAAGCCGGCGGCCUAACCCGUAAGGGAGGGAGCUGUCGAAGGUGGGGUUGGCGAUUGGGACGAAGUCGUAACAAGGUAGCCGUACCGGAAGGUGCGGCUGGAUCACCUCCUUUCUAAGGAGCACCGGCGCCUCUAGUCACCGAAUGCGUGACUGGGCGUCCAUGCUUUCUAGUGGAGCACUGGUUAUUCACUCAGCUGGCGCGCGAAAGCGCGGUUAGUACGCUUCUCACUUCGGUGAGUUCGCGGAACGAGCGCAUGGAACGUAAGGCUGAGUGAGCACGCUGUUGGGUCCUGAGGAAGCGGCCGCUUCGCUUAGGGCUAGCCGACUCGAACGGCCUGUCAUCGCGGAUCUCCGGAUGGAGAUCCGCGAUACAUGGUUCCGUCCGUAUCUUGAGAACUACACAGUGGACGCGAGCAUCUUCUGGCGAACCUCUUAUGAGGUUCGUUCUGCAGUUUGCAUGUAGUGCAUGCAGUGUCAAGUUUUUAAGAGCAUACGGUGGAUGUCUUGGCACCAGGAGCCGAUGAAGGACGUUGGAGCCUGCGAUAAGCCUCGAGGAGCCGGCAACCGGGCUGUGAUUCGAGGAUUU